Molecule: ribosomal RNA, 483 nt
Filed under: uncultured bacterium
Lineage: Bacteria
Description: partial 16S ribosomal RNA
Rfam family: Bacterial small subunit ribosomal RNA
Source: RNAcentral
AUUGAACGCUGGCGGCAUGCUUUACACAUGCAAGUCGAACGGCAGCGCGGGCUUCGGCCUGGCGGCGAGUGGCGAACGGGUGAGUAAUGCAUCGGAACGUGCCCAGUAGUGGGGGAUAGCCCGGCGAAAGCCGGAUUAAUACCGCAUACGACCUGAGGGUGAAAGCGGGGGACCGAAAGGCCUCGCGCUAUUGGAGCGGCCGAUGUCGGAUUAGCUAGUUGGUGGGGUAAAGGCUUACCAAGGCGACGAUCCGUAGCUGGUCUGAGAGGACGACCAGCCACACUGGGACUGAGACACGGCCCAGACUCCUACGGGAGGCAGCGGUGGGAAUUUUGGACAAUGGGGGCAACCCUGAUCCAGCCAUGCCGCGUGCGGGAAGAAGGCCUUCGGGUUGUAAACCGCUUUUGUUCGGGAAGAAAUCCUCUGGGCUAAUACCCCGGGGGGAUGACGGUACCGGAAGAAUAAGCACCGGCUAACUACGUG